Molecule: long non-coding RNA, 335 nt
Organism: Acanthaster planci (crown-of-thorns starfish)
Lineage: Eukaryota; Metazoa; Echinodermata; Asteroidea; Valvatida; Acanthasteridae
Source: RefSeq, a predicted model, not a curated record
CUGUGGAACAUGCGCGCUAGUUGUUGAACUGGUGUGAAAGAAAAUGUGGUGUUUUCAUCUGCAAAAUGGAGGAUUUACAAAGAAAGUUGAAGCUUUUUUAAACUUUCGGGAUGAGAAAUGCUGUUUGACAGGUGGCUACAUGAGACACUGCCAUCAUGCAAACAUUGGAACUUCCUGUACAGAAUCCAGCAAGCAAGAAGAAAAGCUUGGAUCAAUCAAGGUGGGCAUGCCAUCCAGCUGACAUUUCCUCUAGAGGGCCUCCCAUCCAGCCAGUCAUCUUGUGCGCCAAUCAGCCUACCAAAUGGCCAGUCAUCUUGUGAACCAAUCAGCCUACC